RNAcentral lists this ribosomal RNA (416 nucleotides) under uncultured eukaryote. RNAcentral describes it as "SSU rRNA". It matches the Rfam family "Eukaryotic small subunit ribosomal RNA", at positions 567 to 990 of the family's 1831-position model. The record is from RNAcentral.
CCAGCACCUGCGGUAAUUCCAGCUCCAAUAGCGUAUAUUAAUGUUGUUGCAGUUAAAAAGCUCGUAGUUGGAUUUCUACCUAUUUUGCCCGUUCCGGAUCGUAUUUACUUUUCGGUAAUGGAGCUGAAGUGGGUAUCCUAUCAUGAAGUUGCGGCCUCGUGUCGUCGCUGAGUGGUUCUUUUACUUUGAAAAAAUUAGAGUGUUUAAAGCAGGUUGCGCAUGAAUACAUUAGCAUGGAAUAAUAACAUAGGACUUUGGUCUCUAUUUUGUUGGUUUCUAGGACUAAAGUAAUGAUUGAUAGGGAUAGUUGGGGGUGCUAGUAUUAAGCGGCCAGAGGUGAAAUUCUUAGAUUCGCUCAAGACUAACUUAUGCGAAAGCAUUUAGCAAGGAUGUUUUCAUUAAUCAAGAACGAAAGU